UACUAGAGUAGCACUCGCAUAUCAAUAAGCGGAGGAAAAGAAACUAACAAGGAUUCCCUUAGUAACGGCGAGUGAAGCGGGAAGAGCUCAAAUUUGAAAUCUUCAAGGUUUUACCUUGACGAAUUGUAGUUUAAAGAAGUGUUUUCUGUUGAAGUUUUCGGUAAAAGUUCUUUGGAAUAGGACAUCAUAGAGGGUGAGAAUCCCGUAUUUGACCAUUACUUUCCAGCUGUGUGAUACACUUUCAAAGAGUCGGAUUGUUUGGGUAUGCAGUCCAAGAUGGGUGGUAAAUUUCAUCUAAAGCUAAAUAUUGGCGAGAGACCGAUAGCGAACAAGUACCGUGAGGGAAAGAUGAAAAGAACUUUGAAAAGAGAGUUAAACAGUACGUGAAAUUGUCAAAAGGGAAGCGUUUGACACCAGUGUUGUUUUCUCGAAAAUCAAUUAAAAAUGAUGGGAUUUUGUGUUGUAUUGACUUUAUCAGCUUUCUGCACUUUUUUCUUAUCUUUUUUAAUGCACUUUUCGUUUAACAAGUCAACAUCAAUUUCUUUUGUUGUAAAAGAGUCAUUGGAAGGUGGCUUUUUCUUCGGAAAAAGUGUUUAUAGCCUUUGGCUUCUGCAAUCGGAGAGAUUGAGGUCUGCAGCGUAGAUCCUUCGGGGUUAGAUACAUUUGUGCUAAGCUAUAGUUCUUUAUAGACAACUUGUUGACUAUAAUCAAUCCUGUAACUUACUCGCUUAUGCUAUUUUACCUACGCUUAGGAUGUUGAUAGUCACAGCGUGUAC
This 776-nucleotide ribosomal RNA is filed under the name uncultured Neocallimastigales. RNAcentral describes it as "partial large subunit ribosomal RNA". The stretch from base 14 to 695 matches the Rfam family "Eukaryotic large subunit ribosomal RNA", at positions 24 to 664 of the family's 3401-position model. Lineage: Eukaryota; Fungi; Neocallimastigomycota; Neocallimastigomycetes; Neocallimastigales. The record is from RNAcentral.